CAGACGGGUGGCAGCAGGGAGGAAUAGGGGGCAAGGGACGCAAGUCUGAACCAGCCAUGCCGCGUGCAGGAAGACGGCUCUAUGAGUUGUAAACUGCUUUUGCACGAGGGUAAACGCAGAUACGCGUAUCUGUCUGAAAGGAUCGUACGAAUAAGGAUCGGCGAACUCCGUGCCAGCAGCCGCGGUAAGACGGAGGAUUCAAGCGUUACCCGGAUUUAUUGGGUUUAAAGGGUGCGUAGGCGGUAGGUUAAGUGAGAGGUGAAAUCCCGAGGCUCAACUUCGGAAUUGCCUCUGAUACUGUUCGGCUAGAGAGUAGUUGCGGUAGGCGGAAUGUAAGGUGUAGCGGUGAAAUGCUUAGAGAUCAUACGGAACACCAAUUGCGAAGGCAGCUUACCGGGCUACUUCUGACGUUGAGGCACGAAAGCGUGGGGAGCAAACAGGAUUAGAUACCCCAGUAGUC
Molecule: ribosomal RNA, 460 nt
Filed under: uncultured bacterium
Lineage: Bacteria
Description: partial 16S ribosomal RNA
Rfam family: Bacterial small subunit ribosomal RNA
Source: RNAcentral